GACGAACGCUGGCGGCGUGCCUAACACAUGCAAGUCGAACGGAAAGGCCCGGCUUUUGUGGGGUGCUCGAGGGGCGAACGGGUGAGUAACACGUGAGUACCCUGUCCUUGACUGUGGGAUAACUUCAGGCAACUGGAGCUAAUACCGCAUAGGAGCUCCUGCUGCAGGGUGGGGGUUGGUAAGUUUCGGCUGUUGGGGAUGGACUCGCGGCCUAUCAGCUUGUUGGUGGGGUAGUGGCUUACCAAGGCUAUGAGGGGUAGCCGUCCUGAGAGGGUCAGAGGACCCGCUGGGAUGGAGAUGCGGCACAGACUCGUACGGGAGGCGGCGGUGCGGUAGAGAAUAUUGUGGGAGGAAGCCUGGUGCGGCAACGCAGUGCGGGGGAUGACGGCCAUCGGGUUGUAAUGCGAAUUCGUCUUUGACGGAGCGUGAGUGACGGUACUGGGAAAAGAAGCACCGGCUAACUACGUG
Molecule: ribosomal RNA, 468 nt
Filed under: uncultured bacterium
Lineage: Bacteria
Description: partial 16S ribosomal RNA
Rfam family: Bacterial small subunit ribosomal RNA
Source: RNAcentral